RNAcentral lists this ribosomal RNA (292 nucleotides) under uncultured Verrucomicrobiota bacterium. RNAcentral's name for it is "uncultured Verrucomicrobia bacterium partial 16S ribosomal RNA". Lineage: Bacteria; Pseudomonadati; Verrucomicrobiota. The record is from RNAcentral.
GGACUACCCGGGUUUCUAAUCCCGUUUGCUCCCCUAGCUUUCGAGCAUCAGUGUCAGGAAUUGUCCAGAGAUUCGCCUUCGCCACUGGUGUUCCACUUGAUAUCUACGCAUUUCACUGCUACACCAAGUAUUCCAAUCUCCCCUCCAAUCCUCAAGCAAACUAGUAUCUAAUGCCAUUUCUGAGUUAAGCUCAGAGCUUUCACAUCAGACUUAGAAUGCCACCUACGCUCCCUUUACGCCCAGUAAAUCCGAACAACGCUUGGGACCUCUGUAUUACCGCGGCUGCUGGCAC